This 236-nucleotide ribosomal RNA is filed under the name Cryptococcus sp. (in: basidiomycete fungi). RNAcentral's name for it is "Cryptococcus sp. (in: Fungi) partial large subunit ribosomal RNA". The record is from RNAcentral. Lineage: Eukaryota; Fungi; Basidiomycota; Tremellomycetes; Tremellales; Cryptococcaceae.
AAACGAUUGAAGUCAGUCGUGUCUGUUGAUUUCAGCCAGUUAUGCUGGUGUAUUAUCAACAGACGGGUCAACAUCAGUUUUGGACGGUGGAAAAAGGCAGAGAGAACGUAUCACCUCCGGGUGUGUUAUAGCUCUUUGUCACAUACACUGUCCGAGACUGAGGAAUGCAGCUCGCCUUUAUGGCCGGGGUUCGCCCACGUUCGAGCUUAGGAUGUUGACAUAAUGGCUUUAAACGA